GGACGGUUAUCUCAGUGGUUUGAGCGUGGUGCUGACAACAAUAACACUGAGUUCGCGGGUUCGAUUCCCGCUCGGUCCC
RNAcentral lists this transfer RNA (79 nucleotides) under Apaloderma vittatum (bar-tailed trogon). It matches the Rfam family "tRNA". From Rfam's summary of the family: Transfer RNA (tRNA) molecules are approximately 80 nucleotides in length. Their secondary structure includes four short double-helical elements and three loops (D, anti-codon, and T loops). The record is from Rfam by way of RNAcentral. Lineage: Eukaryota; Metazoa; Chordata; Aves; Trogoniformes; Trogonidae.